UGAAGCCAGGAGCCUGGAACUCCAUCCGCAUCUGCUGUGUGAGUGGCAGUGGCCCAAGUACCAGGAUCAUGUUCAACUGAUGUCCCAGUCCCAUUAGCAGGAAGCUGGUUCAGAACUGCAACAAGAGCUAAGACUCAAACCACUGGCUCUCAUAUGAGAUACCUGCAACCCAGGCAGCAGCUAAACUCCCUGUGCCACAAUUCUGACCCCAACCCCAAUUUCCUACACCAGCUCUUCUCCCUGAAUCCAUAGCUCUUUCAAUUUUACAUUUAGUAUUUUUUUAAAAAAUUGAUUCUGCUGGGGGGUGGAGUGAGAGAUUCAUCACAGCAAAUAGGAAUCCCAGGAGGUAGCACUGGGCGGAGGACCGUGGGGACUUCCAAGGCAUGUUUGUGCUGAUUAGAAGGAAUUCCUUUUCUCUGCCUCUUAGGGGUAAUGCAUCAGACCCUACAAAAUGCUUUGCCUGCACUAGAAAGGCACUUUGUGACUUGAUCUACAUUGAACAAAGGCAGAGGGAUUGGGUACUGGGUUCAAUGACUUUUGGUCUGCAGGACAAGGAAAACUCAAGAAGGUGGUAUGGCUGGCAGAGGCCAGUGAAACUGUACCCCAGGGAGGGAGAGAUCCUGGUACGCAAGUAAGAAGACCGUGAUCAUGGAUUUCAUACAAGUCCGCAGCUGCUCACACUCUCUCAACCCAGAGAGCUCUCCUACUUCAGAAUGAACAAUGAUGCGGAGGUUCUGCUGCUGGGGAUGAAGUGGACAGCCCAAGAGACAGACUGAGGUAACUGAGGGUCUCGUCUCAGAAUGUGAAGAAUACUGGGAUGCAGUGGGGUGCUUUGCAGUCAGCUGUUUUGAGAACACAAAAGGAUAGAGGGUUUCUGAGAACAAAUGGGUAGUGGAGUUCCCUAACCUUUGCUGUUUCCAGGAGCACAAGGCACAGGUGCAUCUUAGCACUGUCAGAGUAUACAGUGGUGACUACUGUGCUAAGUGUAUAAUGGGAAUUGCUGUGGGGCAGGAACAGACCAUGAGGGUAUCAGGAGCUCAGUCAUCAAGAGGCCUCUGUGUUACCUGGAACUGGCCUGAACCUGCUCUCACGAGGUAAUUGUGAAAUAUUCAACAAUAUUUUGACAAAGAUUCUUUGCUUGGGCAAACAUUAAUUAGGCUUCUACAUUGUCUCUUAGGCCUGUUUGUACACUUCCUUAUAAGAUCUGGUUUUUGCAAACAGCUCUUCUAGGUUCAGCAAGAACCUUCCACCUCAAUGUCUGAUCAGGUUCCUUAUCUGACAACAGCCCCAAGUGAUAAAUGAUCACCCUGGCCAGUCUUCAGUUAGGUCAGUUCACCUGACUCCCCUUACCCUUAAGGUUUCCUCUUAUUAACUACCCAACUACCCAUGCACUGACUCCCACCCUGAGCUUUGACUAUGAAUUCUUACUCACCUAUGCAGUGUUUGGAGUUGAGCCCUAUCUAUCUCUACUACUACAAGCCCCAGUAGUAAUGGUCCCUGCUUCUACCAUGAUGGUCCUGGAAUAAAUUCUUCCUUACUGUGGUUUUACA
This is a long non-coding RNA of Oryctolagus cuniculus (rabbit), 1550 nucleotides long. Lineage: Eukaryota; Metazoa; Chordata; Mammalia; Lagomorpha; Leporidae. The record is from Ensembl.